Non-coding RNA from Drosophila melanogaster (fruit fly), 246 nucleotides. Lineage: Eukaryota; Metazoa; Arthropoda; Insecta; Diptera; Drosophilidae. The record is from Ensembl.
AAAUCGAAAUCUCCAGUUGGCUGGUUGGCUGCCUGGUUGACUGGCUUUAAGCCCUAUUGAUUUCGUUCAUUUUUCGAGCAUAACUAAUUAGCGAUUUCCUUGCGGCUGCUUUACAUAAUGGAUUUUCGACGACACCUGCGCGGCUUGUAUAAAAAGCUUAAUGCUGUCCAAAGAUAACUUGACCCUUAAUCCGAUCGCCAACUGACCCCCUGUGUCCACAUACCCGAUAAACUUCCUGUUGGCUUC